RNAcentral lists this unclassified non-coding RNA (296 nucleotides) under uncultured fungus. Its description in RNAcentral is "partial contains small subunit ribosomal RNA, internal transcribed spacer 1, and 5.8S ribosomal RNA". The stretch from base 1 to 73 matches the Rfam family "Eukaryotic small subunit ribosomal RNA", at positions 1759 to 1831 of the family's 1831-position model. The record is from RNAcentral. Lineage: Eukaryota; Fungi.
CCAAACUUGGUCAUUUAGAGGAAGUAAAAGUCGUAACAAGGUUUCCGUAGGUGAACCUGCGGAAGGAUCAUUACCAAAAUCUAGCUGUCUGGUCGAAAGGCCCUGACGCUUCAACCCUUUGUGAACCAAAAAACCUUUCGCUUCGGCAGCAGGUCCCCUGACCGGGUCGUCAGCCUGCCGUUAGCACCAAACACAAAAACUUGCAGUCAAACAUUGUCUGAUAACCAAAUUUUCGAAUGAAAAUUAAAACUUUCAACAACGGAUCUCUUGGUUCCCGCAUCGAUGAAGAACGCAGC